This 449-nucleotide ribosomal RNA is filed under the name uncultured bacterium. RNAcentral's name for it is "partial 16S ribosomal RNA". It matches the Rfam family "Bacterial small subunit ribosomal RNA", at positions 29 to 523 of the family's 1533-position model. The record is from RNAcentral.
AACGAACGCUGGCGGCAGGCUUAACACAUGCAAGUCGAACGAUGUAGCAAUACAUAGUGGCGCACGGGUGAGUAACGCGUGGGAAUAUACCGAGAAGUGGGGAAUAACUCCGGGAAACUGGAGCUAAUACCGCAUACGCCCUACGGGGGAAAGAUUUAUCGCUUUUCGAUUAGCCCGCGUGAGAUUAGGUAGUUGGUGGGGUAAUGGCCUACCAAGCCGACGAUCUCUAGCUGGUCUGAGAGGAUGAUCAGCCACACUGGAACUGAGACACGGUCCAUACUCCUACGGGAGGCAGCAGUGGGGAAUAUUGGACAAUGGGCGAAAGCCUGAUCCAGCCAUGCCGCGUGAGUGAUGAAGGCUCUAGGGUUGUAAAGCUCUUUCGCCGAUGAAGAUAAUGACGGUAGUCGGAGAAGAAGCCCCGGCUAACUUCGUGCCAGCAGCCGCAGUAA